This 411-nucleotide ribosomal RNA is filed under the name uncultured bacterium. RNAcentral's name for it is "bacterial SSU rRNA". It matches the Rfam family "Bacterial small subunit ribosomal RNA", at positions 335 to 741 of the family's 1533-position model. The record is from RNAcentral.
ACUCCUACGGGGGCAGCAGUGGGGAAUAUUGGACAAUGGGGGAAACCCUGAUCCAGCCAUGCCGCGUGUGUGAAGAAGGCCUUCGGGUUGUAAAGCACUUUCAGUGGGGAGGAAAGGUUGAUGGUUAAUACCUAUCAGCUGUGACGUUACCCACAGAAGAAGCACCGGCUAACUCCGUGCCAGCAGCCGCGGUAAUACGGAGGGUGCAAGCGUUAAUCGGAAUUACUGGGCGUAAAGCGUGCGCAGGCGGUCUGUUAAGCGAGAUGUGAAAGCCCCGGGCUCAACCUGGGAACUGCAUUUCGAACUGGCAGACUAGAGUCUUGUAGAGGGGGUAGAAUUCCAGGUGUAGCGGUGAAAUGCGUAGAGAUCUGGAGGAAUACCGGUGCGAAGGCGGCCCCCUGGACAAAGACU